RNAcentral lists this transfer RNA (73 nucleotides) under Eopsetta grigorjewi (shotted halibut). Its description in RNAcentral is "tRNA-Ile". It matches the Rfam family "tRNA". From Rfam's summary of the family: Transfer RNA (tRNA) molecules are approximately 80 nucleotides in length. Their secondary structure includes four short double-helical elements and three loops (D, anti-codon, and T loops). Further hydrogen bonds mediate the characteristic L-shaped molecular structure. tRNAs have two regions of fundamental functional importance: the anti-codon, which is responsible for specific mRNA codon recognition, and the 3' end, to which the tRNAs corresponding amino acid is attached (by aminoacyl-tRNA synthetases). tRNAs cope with the degeneracy of the genetic code in two manners: having more than one tRNA (with a specific anti-codon) for a particular amino acid; and 'wobble' base-pairing, i.e. permitting non-standard base-pairing at the 3rd anti-codon position. Lineage: Eukaryota; Metazoa; Chordata; Actinopteri; Pleuronectiformes; Pleuronectidae. The record is from RNAcentral.
AGGAGCUGUGCCUGAAUUUAAAGGGCCACUUUGAUAGAGUGAAUUAUGGGGGUUAGAAUCCCCCCAACUCCUU